This 420-nucleotide ribosomal RNA is filed under the name uncultured bacterium. Its description in RNAcentral is "bacterial SSU rRNA". It matches the Rfam family "Bacterial small subunit ribosomal RNA", at positions 950 to 1370 of the family's 1533-position model. The record is from RNAcentral.
UUCGCCCUUAACGCGAAGAACCUUACCAGGGCUUGACAUCCCUCUGACCGGGUGGUAACGCACCCUUUCCUUCGGGACAGAGGAGACAGGUGGUGCAUGGUUGUCGUCAGCUCGUGUCGUGAGAUGUUGGGUUAAGUCCCGCAACGAGCGCAACCCUUGUCAUUAGUUGCCAGCAGUUCGGCUGGGCACUCUAGUGAGACUGCCGGGGAUAACUCGGAGGAAGGUGGGGAUGACGUCAAAUCAUCAUGCCCCUUAUGUUCUGGGCUACACACGUGCUACAAUGGCUGGUACAAAGAGAAGCGAGAUCGCGAGGUGGAGCAAAUCUCAAAAACCAGUCCCAGUUCGGAUUGUAGGCUGCAACUCGCCUACAUGAAGUUGGAGUUGCUAGUAAUCGCGAAUCAGAAUGUCGCGGUGAAUGCG